ACAAAUAAAUAUGCAAAUGGAAUGUGGAGAUCAAGUAGAGUCCAUGAGCCCGAAGGCUGUCAGCGCUGUUCUGUCCUCAACUCUGCCAGCCCAUCAAUGCCCCAUCUGGCCACCCUUCCCUGCACACCCUACACCUCUAGGCCCCACGUUAUGUCACUGACCACUGUGUAGCGUUCCUCCACACCACAUCCAUCACCCAGUCCUCCCCACCAGGUCAUCUCAUUCCAGGCUGGGAAUAAUGAUGCAAGAAACAGGGGAUAGUGAUGAUGAAAUGUGACACCCCCCACUGUCAUGGCUAGACACCAUUAAGAGGAGAUAAAGCUCGGUAUAAACAGGCGGAACGUCUCCCCACAACACCGUCUGCCUCCAACGUCGCUGUGGAGCCAUCGGUCCAUCAGAAAAUGAGAAAUAUAACCACCUUCUCAGAAAUCUGUUGGCACUGGGCUCUUCCAGAAGAACAUGACACCACCUCCAAAUAUCAAUCUCCUUUUCACUUGGCUGAAACAUCAGGCAAUUGUUCUGUGGUAAUGCAAUCCCACUCUACGUAAGUGGAUGAAAGCUCUGGGCUGACGCAGGCAAGAGCAGCUGUUUUGCCUCAAUGUAUCACACUGUAACUUACUUAUACAAGUAUGUGUACUUUGAAAAGUUAAAUUUAUACACUACUGUGCCUAAAGUCUUAGGCAGUCAAAGAAAAUGCUUAAAGCUAUUUAACAGUGUAGUAAGCAUAUAUUUGCUCAGAAGAAAAUGCAAUUUAAUGUUUGAUCUUAUGCAAAUUAACAGUUAUAGGUGGUUUUUUUUUAUAAAAGUUUUAGCCAUGGUAUCAUAAUAUCAUUCCGAGAAAACUGCAGCAUGUUUACACAAUGGAAAAAUUAUGCUCAGAAACCACUUUGCCACAUUUCUGGUGUCAGAAUCUGCCCCUGUCAGCUUCAUCAUUUUACUGUUGGCCAGCAGGUGUCGCUGGCCUUCCCGUAUCUCCCCGAAAUGCUUCAUUGCUUCCAGCCCUAAUGUGUCAAUCACGCACACCUGGCUCUUGUUGGUUCCUCGUUUUUUUGUGUUUAUAUGUGCCUGCCCUCGGCAUGUUGCCGCUUGGGUUGUUAUAGCUGUUGUGGAUGGUAAACGUGCUGAGUGUGUGCUUGUGAGUUUAGUACUGGCCUCUGCUGUAUGUCGGUUCCCCCAGUCCUGCCUAGUUGUUCCUCUCUGCCUUCUGUUUGACCCCUUGUGGUCCUUUUAUUUUUAUUAGUGUCUAUUUUGAUUUAACCAAAAAAACCCUUUGAGUCCUGUGAGGCUGCAUUUGGAGUGUCCCUCUUCUCCCAUUGUGACUUCAGGCCUCCGGGGACUUAUGGACAUCGGGCUGACUUCUCUCAUUUUCUACUGCUAAUGGCAUCUAAUGGUAAUUUUUGCUGAUUAACAAGGGGCCCCAUCACCUCACACUAAGAAAGGAACAAAGAGCUUCUCCAUGCAUACCUGAGCUGCCCCUGCAUGAUCUUCACCUGCAGCAGCAGAUCUUCUGAGAAGGAGAGAGGACACUAACAAUGCCAGCAAGCUCACAGGCAGUCUGUUCAAUAAAGACUUUUCAUAAUGUC
Molecule: long non-coding RNA, 1583 nt
Organism: Paramormyrops kingsleyae
Lineage: Eukaryota; Metazoa; Chordata; Actinopteri; Osteoglossiformes; Mormyridae
Source: RefSeq, a predicted model, not a curated record